GGUCGAAUGGUGUAGUUGGUUAUCACGUCAGUCCAACACACUGAAGGCCCACGGGGUCGAGCCCGUGUUCGGUCA
This is a non-coding RNA of Schizothecium vesticola, 75 nucleotides long. NCBI's taxonomy places the organism in Eukaryota, Fungi, Ascomycota, Sordariomycetes, Sordariales, Schizotheciaceae. The record is from the annotation of a GenBank genome assembly.